GCGGGACCUAGCAUCCUCCCGCUUAGACCCUGCCGGUCCAAGUGUUGC
Molecule: non-coding RNA, 48 nt
Organism: Erythrobacter sp. HI0063
Lineage: Bacteria; Pseudomonadati; Pseudomonadota; Alphaproteobacteria; Sphingomonadales; Erythrobacteraceae
Source: Rfam